UUAUUUAUGAAAUUAGUUUUUUUAGAAGAUGUUAGCAUCAUAAAAUAUUAAAAAAUAUCUUCAAUAAAUAUAAAAAUAUAUCACUUAUCACACUCUUCAAUUUGAACUUUGCUCAUCCUUGAGUAAAAAAAGAAUUUAGAAUUAAGUAUCAUUUAAUUUAAAGUUUCGAAUUUCACCAAAUAAUUUUAUAAAGAGCCACUGAUGUCC
Molecule: long non-coding RNA, 207 nt
Filed under: Elaeis guineensis (African oil palm)
Lineage: Eukaryota; Viridiplantae; Streptophyta; Magnoliopsida; Arecales; Arecaceae
Description: long non-coding RNA (EGUI_LNC068282)
Source: RNAcentral